This 489-nucleotide ribosomal RNA is filed under the name uncultured bacterium. RNAcentral's name for it is "partial 16S ribosomal RNA". It matches the Rfam family "Bacterial small subunit ribosomal RNA", at positions 30 to 506 of the family's 1533-position model. The record is from RNAcentral.
AUUGAACGCUGGCGGCAGGCCUAACACAUGCAAGUCGAACGGUAACAGGAAACAGCUUGCUGUUUCGCUGCCGAGUGGCGGACGGGUGAGUAAUGUCUGGGCAACUGCCUGAUGGAGGGGGAUAACUACUGUAAACGGUAGCUAAUACCGCAUAACGUCGCAAGACCAAAGCGGGGGACCCUCGGGCCUCUUGCCAUCGGAUGUGCGCAGAUGGGAUUGGCUUGUUGGUGGGGUAACGGCUCACCAAGGCGUGGAUCCCUAGCUGGCUUGAGGGGAGGACCGGCCAAACGGGAACUGGGACACGGUCCAGAUUCCUACGGGAGGCAGCAGUGGGGAAUAUUGCACAAUGGGCGAAAGCUUGAUGCAGACAGGCCGCGGGUAUGAAGAAGGCCUUCGGGUGGUAAAGUACUUUCAGCGGGGAGGAAGGGAGUAAAGUUAAUACCUUUGCUCAUUGACGUUACCCGCAGAAGAAGCACCGGCAAACUCCGU